CUCGUCUAGACAAAAUUGAAGACUCCCAGAAAUUCAUCGCUGGUAAAUACGACCAAAUACUUGAGUCAAUGCAAGUGACGAUUGAGAAAAACUUAAAAGAUCAUGAUGUAACAAUAUCAAGCUUCAAGCUACGUAUAGCUGACACCGAUCGAGCUUGCGAUUGACGAAAUCCAACAGUAUCAGCGCAGGGAUUGUCUAGAAGUCAUAGGAAUACCAAUACUACCUUCAGAACGACCCAAGCAACUGAUGAUCGGAUUUAGCGACACAGAUCGGCGUGGAUUUAAAGGAAAAUGAAGUAUCAACAGCACACAGACUUCCUGAUACAAAG
Molecule: non-coding RNA, 328 nt
Organism: Paramuricea clavata
Lineage: Eukaryota; Metazoa; Cnidaria; Anthozoa; Malacalcyonacea; Plexauridae
Source: the annotation of a GenBank genome assembly